RNAcentral lists this ribosomal RNA (506 nucleotides) under uncultured bacterium. RNAcentral's name for it is "bacterial SSU rRNA". It matches the Rfam family "Bacterial small subunit ribosomal RNA", at positions 30 to 533 of the family's 1533-position model. The record is from RNAcentral.
AUUGAACGCUGGCGGCAGGCCUAACACAUGCAAGUCGAGCGAGAAAGGUCUUCGGACUGAGUACAGCGGCGGACGGGUGAGUAAAGCGUAGGAAUCUACCUGGUAGUGGGGGAUAACUUGGGGAAACUCAAACUAAUACCGCAUACGCCCUACGGGGAAAGCGGGGACCUUCGGGCCUCGCGCUAUCAGAUGAGCCUGCGUAGGAUUAGCUAGUUGGUGAGGUAAAGGCUCACCAAGGCGACGAUCCUUAGCUGGUCUGAGAGGAUGAUCAGCCACACUGGGACUGAGACACGGCCCAGACUCCUACGGGAGGCAGCAGUGGGGAAUAUUGCGCAAUGGGCGAAAGCCUGACGCAGCCAUGCCGCGUGUGUGAAGAAGGCCUUAGGGUUGUAAAGCACUUUCAAUUGGGAAGAAAAGUUGGUCGUUAAUAGCGCCGGCCCUGACAUUACCUUUAGAAGAAGGACCGGCUAACUCCGUGCCAGCAGCCGCGGUUAAUGUCGUACGAU